GUUUCUAUAGUUGAAUAACAACGAUGAUUUUUCAUGUCAUUGGUCAUAGUGAA
Molecule: transfer RNA, 53 nt
Filed under: Microtus obscurus (Altai voie)
Lineage: Eukaryota; Metazoa; Chordata; Mammalia; Rodentia; Cricetidae
Description: partial tRNA-Glu
Source: RNAcentral